CAGCAGCCACGGGAAUACGAAGGGGGCUAGCGUUGUUCGGAAUUACUGGGCGUAAAGCGCACGUAGGCGGACAUUUAAGUCAGGGGUGAAAUCCCGGGGCUCAACCCCGGAACUGCCUUUGAUACUGGGUGUCUAGAGUAUGGAAGAGGUGAGUGGAAUUCCGAGUGUAGAGGUGAAAUUCGUAGAUAUUCGGAGGAACACCAGUGGCGAAGGCGGCUCACUGGUCCAUUACUGACGCUGAGGUGCGAAAGCGUGGGGAGCAAACAGGAUUAGAGACCCCUGUAGUCCCUGUCUCUUAUAC
RNAcentral lists this ribosomal RNA (301 nucleotides) under uncultured bacterium. RNAcentral describes it as "partial 16S ribosomal RNA". It matches the Rfam family "Bacterial small subunit ribosomal RNA", at positions 509 to 807 of the family's 1533-position model. The record is from RNAcentral.